GGUCGUAUGCGCGAGGGGUCAGGGAACCGCCUGCAAAGCGGUGCACACCGGUUCGGAUCCGGUUGCGGCCU
RNAcentral lists this transfer RNA (71 nucleotides) under Streptomyces iranensis. RNAcentral's name for it is "tRNA-Cys". It matches the Rfam family "tRNA". Rfam says of the family: Transfer RNA (tRNA) molecules are approximately 80 nucleotides in length. The record is from RNAcentral. Lineage: Bacteria; Bacillati; Actinomycetota; Actinomycetes; Kitasatosporales; Streptomycetaceae.